Molecule: small nuclear RNA, 107 nt
Organism: Nannospalax galili (Upper Galilee mountains blind mole rat)
Lineage: Eukaryota; Metazoa; Chordata; Mammalia; Rodentia; Spalacidae
Source: Ensembl
AUGCUCGGUUCGGCAGCACAUACACUAAAAUUGGAACAAUACAGAGAAAAUUAGCAUGGCCCCUGCACAACGAUGAUAUGCAAACUCAUGACGUGUUCCACAUUUUU